UACGAAGGGUGCAAGCGUUACUCGGAAUUACUGGGCGUAAAGGGCAGGCAGGCGGAUCCAUAAGUUUAUCGUUUAAGGCGUCGGCUUAACCGGCGUAGGGCGGUAGAUACUGUGGAUCUGGAAUGCGGUUGGGGAAGACAGAAUUCCUGGUGUAGCGGUGGAAUGCGCAGAGAUCAGGAGGAAUACCGAAGGCGAAGGCAGUCUUCCAAGCCGUUAUUGACGCUCAACUGCGAAGGUGUGGGUAUCAAACAGGAUUAGAUACCCUGGUAGUCCCU
RNAcentral lists this ribosomal RNA (275 nucleotides) under uncultured prokaryote. Its description in RNAcentral is "partial 16S ribosomal RNA". It matches the Rfam family "Bacterial small subunit ribosomal RNA", at positions 524 to 798 of the family's 1533-position model. The record is from RNAcentral.